Long non-coding RNA from Canis lupus familiaris (dog), 478 nucleotides. RefSeq lists it as uncharacterized. NCBI's taxonomy places the organism in Eukaryota, Metazoa, Chordata, Mammalia, Carnivora, Canidae. The transcript has 2 exons. The record is from RefSeq and is a predicted model, not a curated record.
CCUCGGCCACGCCCCCUCCCCAACUACUUAAAAGGACCCUCGGCGCGCUGGCUUCCCUCCUCCGGGCGGGUGUGCGCGCGUCUGGGCGUCGCUCCUCGCGUAAGGUGCGCUGGCUCCGCCCUUCGGGUGACCAGGGAAGCCGCGGAUCCUCACCCAGGUCCCAAAUUCCAAUCCUGGCUCUCCUAGAAGAUGCAGAUCUCAUCGUGUCUAUGUGGAACUUUCGGGAUGAAGUUCAGGUGUCUAGCUGGGCACAGAUGGUCCCGAAGAUCUGGCUCCUGUUGGCUUACCUGCCCCUUCUACCACACCUUCCACACACCCACCCAUGCUUCCGUCCAGAGGAACCAAGCACCUGUGAUUCUUUGACACCUUUUGCCUCCAUACCUUUGCACACAUGGUUCUUUCUGCCUGGAUGCCUUGCUUCUCUGUGGAUGACGACUCACCCUUUCAAAUACGUUUCAGUUGCCCCUUCUUCCUCAAA